This 456-nucleotide long non-coding RNA is filed under the name Sarcophilus harrisii (Tasmanian devil). Its description in RNAcentral is "lncRNA (ENSSHAG00000025143.1)". Lineage: Eukaryota; Metazoa; Chordata; Mammalia; Dasyuromorphia; Dasyuridae. The record is from RNAcentral.
AGAAUACUUUUAUAAUCGACAUUGAUUAAUAACCUUGCAAUCCUUACUAAUAAAUUUUUCUGUUCUUUCUGGAGGUAAUGCUCGAUUAUAAAUCUCCCUAAAACUGAAGAAAUUAGGAAUUAAUUUAAGAACUGAAGAUUAAGAAAUCUAUCUGAUUCAAGACAUUUGUUUCAUACCUCAAUAUUGUUGAUUGAGCUUAUUUGGAUGCUAUCCAUAAAGCAGAAAAUGUAAUUGGUGUACAAGAGUGAAGCACUUGAUCAAUGCUUUCCAGUUUUCAAAGAAGCUACAGUUUCAGGUUCAGCGCUGUGCCACUUACCUGCCAUAUAUGAUGUAUAUCUCAGAAGUCCAAUGAAAAGAAGAAAUUCAAAUCAAUAUACAAAUGGUUGCAAAGUGACAACCAAACAGGAGGCUUUUAGAGUAAACUUGCAGAGGGCAGCUAAGGAGUGCAGUGAAUAG